Molecule: non-coding RNA, 443 nt
Organism: Cinara cedri
Lineage: Eukaryota; Metazoa; Arthropoda; Insecta; Hemiptera; Aphididae
Source: the annotation of a GenBank genome assembly
UACCUAUACUACAUUUUCCAUUUCCUGCUAAUAAUUUAAUAAAAAUUAAUUAGGUAUUAAUUAUUGUUAUCAAUUAAAUUCUUAUUAUUAUCAUCUAUCUGUUUGUUUAUUAUUUCGAGGAGGAAAUGAGACGUGAUGAUACGGUGUAAAUAGUUUGCAUCAUAUGUAAGUGAUUGUGCAGAAAAAUUAAACCGGUGUCAAUUUUAACACGAGUUACACUAAAAAAUAUCUCAAAUUCACACCGGUUUGUAUAAAUGAAUUUCCUGUAUAUACUAUGUAAUAUAUAACUGUAUUUGCCUGUUGUAUGGACUAAAAUUUACAGAAUACCGAACGAACGUGUGAUAAGCUCAAACCACAGACGCCAUAUACUUAGUAUAAGGUCUAUGACUCAAACCUUCUCACUAUUGAUAAAGCGAUUAACACUAUAUCAAUAAUUAUUAUAG